Molecule: ribosomal RNA, 193 nt
Filed under: uncultured delta proteobacterium
Lineage: Bacteria; Deltaproteobacteria
Description: partial 16S ribosomal RNA
Rfam family: Bacterial small subunit ribosomal RNA
Source: RNAcentral
CCUACGGGAGGCAGCAGUGAGGAAUAUUGCGCAAUGGGGGAAACCCUGACGCAGCGACGCCGCGUGGAUGAUGAAGGCCUUCGGGUCGUAAAAUCCUGUCAGAUGGGAAGAAAUGUUACAUGUUCAACAGGCAUGUAAUUUGACGGUACCAUCAAAGGAAGCACCGGCUAACUCCGUGCCAGCAGCCGCGGUA